UGGCCGGGCCCGUACGACUGGGGCUUGCGAACCCCGCCAGGCCCGGAAGGGAGCAACGGUAGCAAUAACCUCCGUGCGUUACGGAUACCUGGUCGCUG
Molecule: signal recognition particle RNA, 98 nt
Filed under: Candidatus Dadabacteria bacterium
Lineage: Bacteria; Pseudomonadati; Thermodesulfobacteriota; Candidatus Dadabacteria
Description: signal recognition particle sRNA small type
Rfam family: Bacterial small signal recognition particle RNA
About the family: The signal recognition particle (SRP) is a universally conserved ribonucleoprotein involved in the co-translational targeting of proteins to membranes.
Source: RNAcentral